GAGCCGUAUGCGGUGAGAGUCGCACGUGCGGUAAGGAGGGGGGGUUCGCGUCUAUACAUGUAGUGUGGUGGUUGGGCCUACCCACCCUAU
Molecule: non-coding RNA, 90 nt
Organism: Dichanthelium oligosanthes
Lineage: Eukaryota; Viridiplantae; Streptophyta; Magnoliopsida; Poales; Poaceae
Source: Rfam